RNAcentral lists this unclassified non-coding RNA (234 nucleotides) under plant metagenome. RNAcentral describes it as "partial contains small subunit ribosomal RNA, internal transcribed spacer 1, and 5.8S ribosomal RNA". The record is from RNAcentral.
UUUCCGUAGGUGAACCUGCGGAAGGAUCAUUAAAGUUAUAGUCCCCUGGCCCUCUGGGCUGGGGUCUUCUAUACCACCCUUUGCUUAUUACACCUUUGUUGCUUUGGCAGGCCUGCCCUCGGGCUGCUGGCUCCGGCCGGCGAGCGCCUGCCAGAGGACCUAAACUCUGUUUGUCUAUAAUGUCUGAGUACUAUAUAAUAGUUAAAACUUUCAACAACGGGUCUCUUGGUUCUG